This 471-nucleotide ribosomal RNA is filed under the name Shigella sonnei. RNAcentral's name for it is "partial 23S ribosomal RNA". It matches the Rfam family "Bacterial large subunit ribosomal RNA", at positions 474 to 946 of the family's 2925-position model. The record is from RNAcentral. Lineage: Bacteria; Pseudomonadati; Pseudomonadota; Gammaproteobacteria; Enterobacterales; Enterobacteriaceae.
UCCUGACUGACCGAUAGUGAACCAGUACCGUGAGGGAAAGGCGAAAAGAACCCCGGCGAGGGGAGUGAAAAAGAACCUGAAACCGUGUACGUACAAGCAGUGGGAGCACGCUUAGGCGUGUGACUGCGUACCUUUUGUAUAAUGGGUCAGCGACUUAUAUUCUGUAGCAAGGUUAACCGAAUAGGGGAGCCGAAGGGAAACCGAGUCUUAACUGGGCGUUAAGUUGCAGGGUAUAGACCCGAAACCCGGUGAUCUAGCCAUGGGCAGGUUGAAGGUUGGGUAACACUAACUGGAGGACCGAACCGACUAAUGUUGAAAAAUUAGCGGAUGACUUGUGGCUGGGGGUGAAAGGCCAAUCAAACCGGGAGAUAGCUGGUUCUCCCCGAAAGCUAUUUAGGUAGCGCCUCGUGAAUUCAUCUCCGGGGGUAGAGCACUGUUUCGGCAAGGGGGUCAUCCCGACUUACCAACCCG